This is a long non-coding RNA of Triplophysa rosa, 1835 nucleotides long. RefSeq lists it as uncharacterized. The record is from RefSeq and is a predicted model, not a curated record. Lineage: Eukaryota; Metazoa; Chordata; Actinopteri; Cypriniformes; Nemacheilidae. The transcript has 10 exons.
UUGUUGUUUAGGGCAUUUAAUGUACGAAUAUUGUACUGUUUUGUUUAGAAGCGAAUCUUCGGACCGCUCCACGUCAUCUGUGGAAGUUCCUUCUUACUGGGACAAAGGAUCCCUCCCUAGUCUGACGUAAAUGGACGGAUGCAAGUAAAACGUACAGAAACGCGUGACGAGGAGGCCUGUUGGAUAAUACAUCCACUGAGUCGCACCAGGCCCCGUCCAAGGUAAGAAUCCUGAGGGAUAAGGAUUCCUAAAUUCCUGCCUGGAGAUAAAGGCAGGGGCGGAGCCUACCCCCUGGACCGAGGACAGGGACCGACCUGGUGGUGGUGGGGAGGACGGAGGUUGCUCGUGUGCUUCAGUAUCUGCGAACGAGAGAGAAGAUCUGUCUACCUGAUAUUCAUGGUCAUGGUAACGUUGGUCAACUUGUUAACAAUCCCAUUGGACAUGGCUUUUUCUGAGGAUAUCCAUGGAACCUUACACAGGUUUUGGAUAUCAUUUACCGUCAUCUCAGCAGACAUAAUCUUCUUUUUUGACAUUUUGAUAAAUUCCCGAAUGGGAUUCAUCAAAGAAGAGGAUCAGGUGCCCGUUCUUGAUCCUCAGCUGAUAAGGAACAACUUUAUAAAAUCCUGGUUUGUUCUAGACCUGCUGGCUGCAUUUCCAGCUGACAGCAUCAUUGUUGUUGUGGUUUCACAUAUCCAACUCGCAGCAGUCAGAAGGAUCCUUAGAUCUGUGUGCGUAGUAGUUCUGCUCUUUCUAAUUACGCACUAGAACGCCUGCAUCCAGUUCUUCAUCUCUGCGAUGGGUGAAUUUCCACCUGAUGGCUGGGUCACGCAAGAACGCCUCAUGAAUGCCUCAAUUGGAGAGAAGUACUCCUCUUCUUUCUUUUGAGCAUUCUGACAAAUGACCUGGACGUCAUAUGGAUCUUCUGACCCGCCGACACGUAUUGAAGAACAGUGGACCGCCAUCAUAAGUUUUGUGAUUGGCCGGUCGAUGUUAAUUGCACUUGUUGCUUUGGGGAUAGCAGCGAACAUAAAAGAGCUGAACAACUUCGAGCAUCUGCCCAAGACUUUGCGCGAGCGUGUCAUUGCAGGCUACAAGUGGCAGCAGAAAAAGAACUCCCUCGGCCUCCUGCAAGAUUCAUUAAAAAAGGAUGUUAUGGAAGUCAUGUUCCCAAACCUGAUGAAGUCACACUGAUUGAGGCCGUUCUGAUGAAGCUGGACUGUGAAAUCUUCCAGGCAGGCGACAUCAUCAUCCAACAGAACAGUCUAGCUGACAGGAUGUACUUCAUCGAGGUUGGACGAGUACUCCAGGAGACCAGGUUCAUCCAAAAGGAGCUCUCAUGUGGAGCAUACUUUGGAGGUGGUGUAUGUUAUGUCUUGUGUGGAGACACGUGGUGUAAUGUCAAAACAUACAGCCACAUGUCUCCUUGUGUGCUGUAGCCCCGCCUCCUUGUUUCCCCAUCAUUGUCCCGAUUAGUGUUCAUCCCCUUCACCUGCCCCGUGUCAUCUUCCUGUUAGUGUUGAUUCUCCCCACCUGGCCCUUGUCAUCAACCCUGUUAGUCUCCCCUAUAUCUUGUCUCAGUUUCCCUCUGUCCCUUGCCGGUUUGCACUGUUUAUAUUGUUGUACCUUCGUCUUGCAAUUGUCAUCCAGUGAAUUUAUCCUGUCGUCCUAGUCUUCUUAACCUUGUCUUGCCAACUGUUUUGGAAUAUUAUUUAUUAUUGGACUUCCUUUGUUGCCCCUCCCCUGAGGGAAGUGUUUGUGUUUGGUUUCGUUUUGAGUGUUUUUCCCCAUCGUGGGUUUUUAUUUUCAGUUUUGUAUCAAUAAAGCCUUUUUGUGUU